Theobroma cacao (cacao) is the source of this 2015-nucleotide non-coding RNA. The record is from RefSeq and is a predicted model, not a curated record. NCBI's taxonomy places the organism in Eukaryota, Viridiplantae, Streptophyta, Magnoliopsida, Malvales, Malvaceae.
AAACAGGGCACUCGAUUCUCAAUCUCUAUUUUUUUUAAUUAUUAUUACACGAUUUAAGAUUUCUUUUGUAGGACUUGAUUGUUCAUUGAUUUGAUUCUUGCUGGCAUGUUAAUGACACUGAACCUAUUUCAACCGCAAACAGGCACACCAUUGUUUUGAUGCAAACUUCGCAGAACAGAGCACCUAGAACGUUUGUGGAUUAUGAUUCUAUCAGUCAAGCUGUGGACAGUAUGCUUUUUGUUUACUGUUGCUUAUAUUAUCUUUGUUUUUGUUGUUGCUCAUAUUAUGAUUUUAUCAGUCAAGCUAUGAAUAUGGGUUUGGAGGUGGAAAACAAAGAAAUCAAAAUUGAGCUUUAUGAUAGGAUACAUAUACAUUUCAUACAUUUUAUAGAGUUCCUAUUGCAUUAAUUUUCUUGAAAAUAGCUUCUAUUGCAGGCAAUGGACUAUACCUUUUGGAAGUUGGCUUGUGGAGUUGAGAAUGAUUUUUAGAUUUGAUUGUGCAUAUGUCUUUUUUUUCUCAAGAAUGUAUGUCCAAAAUUGUUUAUAUUUCUGAGUUGCAUUACAAGGAAAUGAAUUAGUGUGGUUUCACUAUGAUGCACUAGAUGGAAUCCCCUCUCUUCUUCUUUUCCAUCAUUUAAAAGAUUUGACAAUUUUAACAGUAUAUAUUAUUUGCCGUGUGCAGGUAUAUGUGGACUAUAUGAAAGGAAACUUAAAAAGCUCAACCCAGCAACUCAAAACAUCACGUAUGACAUUGGUGUUCUUUACAAUUUUAUUGAUGGCCUUGCAGAUAUGAUUGCCCUUGUUCAAAAGGGACACUUGAAAUGGAUGCCUUUUCACCAUAUGAUAAAAGAUUGUGAUUCUAGGAGGACAUUCACAAGGCCUUGGAGUCAUUGAAGACUGGACAUCAAAAGGGAAGCUUUUAUUUUCUAUUGCAACUAUUUUUUAUUUUCGUUCAGUUCUCAAGUUUAGUUACUUAAUUAUAACAAUUUACAGCUUAAUCAAUCAUCAUUGAUCGGUUGCCAAGAAAUGGAACAAAUAAUCAAACACCAAAUAUUUGAUAAUAUAUCUCUAAAUCAGAUUUGUAAGGUUAGUUACUUGCAAUCACUUUAAGAGUUUUUACAAUUUUGAGGUUCUAAUUUGUCAUAUGAUCUAAGAUUUAUGAUUUAUGAUUGCAUUUUUAUUAUUAUUUUAUUAAAAUUCUUAAAGUGUUGCAUAAUUUAUGCAUGAAUGGAGUUUUGGAUUUUUUUUUAAUUUUUAUUUUAGAAAAGUAACAAUUCUAGAAGUUUAAAACUAAUGGCAAUGUGAUGUUAAAACUUGGAGUUAGGGGCUCCUAUGUGUAAGUUGGAUUUAUAGGAUAUCUGGUAUAGUUACUCUAGAAUCAUUGAGAUAACAUGCAUUUAAGCUAUAUUUGAUUCAUAGGAGGCCUUAUCGUAGAUGUUAAAACAUAAGACACCUUUUUUGCUUUCCAAUCUCCAAUGUUAAACUAUGCAUCAUUUGAAACUUAUGUAGUACCAUGCUAGAAGAGAGUUAUAUAUGAAAAGAGAACAAAUAAUGAAUCUUUUAUAAUUUUAGCAGUUUUCUAUGUUCUUUUUUUUCUCCAUUUUUUGCUUUGUUUUCAAAUCAAAUCAAAGAGCACAAAUAAAUUUUUGUUAGUUGGUCAGUGAGUAUGCUUUGUCUCAUAUUACAUUAUGAAUUACUUGCAAAUUAAUAUUAUCUUACAAAUUAAUCUUUACAGGUAAGGAAGGCUGGGAAUUGUAAUGUCAGAUGGUUUUAUUAGGUUGGAGAAGGGACAAACAAAUAUGUACAAAGAGGAAUUGGAGAGAAAAAGAGAGAAAGAGAGAUUACCCCAUAUUGUACACGUUGUAAAGACCUUGAGGGUCCAUGUUCCAAGUUGAAAAUGGUUUUUGAGACAUUUGACUUUUGAGGCAUUAGUUGCUGCAAUUUGAUUUUAGAGGCACUUUAUGGUUUGUGAGCAUUUUGUUUCUAUCAUAAAACUUAUUGCAUAUUAGAAGGUUA